This is a non-coding RNA of Nanorana parkeri, 516 nucleotides long. The record is from the annotation of a RefSeq genome assembly. NCBI's taxonomy places the organism in Eukaryota, Metazoa, Chordata, Amphibia, Anura, Dicroglossidae.
AUGACAGGUAUUGCUGAAGUAGAGGGUAGCCACAAGGGAUUUGAAAGUGCCUCUGGUAAAAGGGAUCCUUUGACUCCUUCUGUAUUUCUUUUAACAUCUGAAAAAGUCUCUUCAACGUCCUGUCUUGCAAAGGAUUUCUACCCCGAAGAUGUGGAGAUGUACUUCAAUUCCAGUAUGUCAGAGUCCGAUACUGUUAAGGUGAAUCCGGUCCUGACAAGGAAAGGCCUUUACAAUGCUGUUCUUGUAAAGAAUACACAGUCAACAGAGUGUGGAGUUAAACACCAAGGAAAAUGGGUGAUGAGCCAGAAAUAUUCAGUAGCCGAAGUGGAAAAUGAGACACAACACACUGAAAUACAGACUGCUGGUGCAGAUUAUGAGAACUGCUUAGAACCACCUGCUGACGUAACUGAUCAUCAUAUUAAUAUUCUUUCACUGACUGUCCUGGGAAUGAGAGUGCUGCUUGUCAAAGCUCUGGUCUUUAACUUCUUACUGAGUGUAAAGAUGAUUUGUUUAUAA